AUUGAACGCUGGCGGCAGGCCUAACACAUGCAAGUCGAGCGGUUGAGAGUAGCUUGCUACUUGAUGCAGCGGCGGACGGGUGAGUAAUGCAUGGGAAUCUGCCUGGUAGUGGGGGACAACGUUUCGAAAGGAACGCUAAUACCGCAUACGCCCUACGGGGGAAAGGGGGGGAUCUUCGGACCUCUCGCUAUCAGAUGAGCCCAUGUCAGAUUAGCUAGUUGGGGGGGUAAAGCCCACCAAGGCGACGAUCUGUAACUGGUCUGAGAGGAUGAUCAGUCACACUGGAACUGAGACACGGU
RNAcentral lists this ribosomal RNA (299 nucleotides) under uncultured bacterium. Its description in RNAcentral is "partial 16S ribosomal RNA". It matches the Rfam family "Bacterial small subunit ribosomal RNA", at positions 30 to 330 of the family's 1533-position model. The record is from RNAcentral.